Molecule: non-coding RNA, 3629 nt
Organism: Peromyscus maniculatus bairdii (prairie deer mouse)
Lineage: Eukaryota; Metazoa; Chordata; Mammalia; Rodentia; Cricetidae
Source: RefSeq, a predicted model, not a curated record
GUGGUAGGGGAAAUUUUAUUUGUAAAUUAAUUUGAGGUGAAAUGUUAGUAUUCUUCUGAAUAGUUGAUUCAUUUACAUGGUGCACAGAGUUCAGAAGCUUAUCCAUAGUGAUGAAGAGGUCAUUUCCUUACUCACAGCCCCAGGCACCCAGUUAGUUCAUUGUCCUUGUGGCACUUGUGGGUUCUGUUUCCUUAAAGGAAAACCUAUCUCCUGAUGUGUCUGCCGAGGCCUCAGGUCCACAUACCACACCAGCCUGCCAGGUGGCUCCAGUCUCCUGGAGAAGAUGCACGGAACUCUAGAUGGAGACUGGCGGUGUUUGCUCUGGUCCUGCUGGGAGGGGGCAGAGGAGUCACUGACUGGGGCUGCCUGUUGCGGACCCUGCUGGUUCUGUUGGCCUCACCUGUGGAGCAGGGCAGCCGAGCUGACGCUGCUCUUGUCAGUCUGCUACUGAGACAGCUGAGGUCACGCUGAGAGUUCUCCAAGAAAAUGGGAGUCCAACACCAACUGAUUGCAGAAAACUGAAAGCAGGUCACCUCACUGGGGACCCCAGAAGGGAUCAACAUUUUCUUUGAAUAUUUAGAAGUCUAUACCGCUUGAAUAACUUUUGUGUGAGCUAAAUAAACAUAAAUGUGAAAAUAAAGGGGUAUGGAACCACUGUCAUGGGUUCAAAUUAGUUAGCUCUGCUACUUAAUAUCCUUCUAGAGGUCCAGGAAGUCUUAGGGUUUGGGUAUAUUCCGGCCCCCAACUCCCCCACUCUAGGCAUUGAGUUUUUCUGUUGGCAUCUUGUUGCCAAGACAGGAGUAAAACAUGGAAAAUCAGAAUCUAAUUUGUAUAGUGGACGAUUGCUAUCAUCAUCUGGAAUAGUGUGUGGGUGAGGAGCAUCAGCCCAAGAGGAAUGUAAGCCUGUCGUCUUCCCUAGACUUCGGGAUGACUUGCUGUUAGGUAUCUAGAGAGUGCGUGCAUGUGUGCUGGCCAGGACCGUAGAGUAAGUGCCGCUGGGAAACAGAGCGGUGGCAGGACUCCUCCCACGGGGCCACAACUGUUCCAGAAUGAGAGGAAUUACAAGGCAGCCUCUGUGAAGGCUGUGGGCAGCUGAGUAGAACAGUAUCAAGAGCCAGGGGCUUAGCUUGGGUCAAUAAAUGACAGUUGACUGGCUUGGAAAAAGCCAGCAUUGUGAGGGUCCAAGCGCGGUCCGCCGUGGGAGACCCACAACUGGAACGGGAUCCUGUCAUAUUUGUUCUGGCAGCUUCUUCGGUAAAGCCACGCUAAGCUCCAUCUGGGAUACUGUCAGCCGAAGUAAAGCUGCCAAACUUCUCCUGGAGCGGCACAGAUAGGAAUUACGUGGAAGGCUCCAGAAUUCAAGGGCCUGCGUUUGAACCAAAGCCUGGCCAUUUACUAAGCUGCUUUUCUCCGUGAAAGACUCCGGACGAACAGAAGCACUCUUCAAGGGAAGAGGACUGGUCAGAACCGAGAAACCUGCAGGCCACACUCACCCAGGAGAAGAUCCUCCAAGGUCAGCCUCAGCAGACAGCGUGGACGGGAAGGAGGUUCUGGGCAAUGGAUGGGGACUUAGAAGAACUGAGAAAAUCCCAGACCGGAAGGGCCUGUUAGCAGCUCAGGCUGCGGCCUAGCAGGACAGCACGCUGCCCCAAAGCACCAGGAAGAGGAAGAAUGCCCCACAGGGAGGAGGGCUCCUCCAGGGACAGGACGGUUCUGACUUCACAAAAACACACGGAGGCAAAAGAAAUCAGGAAGGAAAGACCAUCUCAGGGAGUUGGGAAAAUUCCCUGCCUGCCUAGAGCCCUCUGACUUUGGCCCUCAGGAGGAGAAAGGACCCUCACGCCUGCGUCAUGCCCAAGCUUCUGUGCCAGGGCGGAUCUCUCAGAGAAUCCUACCAGGAGAGAAACGUUUUAGAAAACCAGACAACACAAUUGCCUGAGCUGCUAUCUUGGAAGAAAAGAGAGACAACUCAGGAAAUGAAAAGACAAUGCCUGCCGAAUAUCUGAGUCCGAAGAGCCAUAGUUUGCCUGUCAGUCACUCUAUCCGGCCAACAUGAUAUCCAUCAGAAGUCAGUGAGCUCACUGGUCAUUUAAGCAUCAUGCUGGUGUUUAGCUUGAUGUAGCUGUUGCACUUAGGAGUACAGCGAAGCUUCUUUUCAUUCUUCCAAUUUCUUUUACAAACUGUGUUUAAAAUCCAUAUACUCAAUGGACUGAGAUUUAAUAAAAACAAUCUCAUUGUUUCUUCAGGUUCUUCUUAAGGCUACUCUCUUAAGGUGCAAGGCAUACAAAUGCUUGGCAGUAGGUGCUGUGACCUUGACUUGUACAGUGGCAGCAAUAGUGUCAUCUGCCAUUUCAUCUGCAUCAUCGGAGCACAUUUCAGUAUGUAAGAGCUUGGAAUUGUUAGUGUGUUAGUGAAUUUGCUAGUGAAUUUGUUGCUGUAACAAAAUACCUGAGGCAGGCUAACCUUAUUCACAGUCACUGUAUUGAAAAUACACACACUCUGUAUUGAAAGAGAGAGUGAGAGAGGGAAGGGGGAAGGAAGGGAGGAGGGCGGAAGGAAGGAAGGACGGAACCUUGUAGCCAUCCAGUAUAGAGAUGACCACAGAAUGGACCGCAAUUAUAAGACAGACUAAAGAUUUACUGAAGGUAAAAUCAGUACAAGGGUCCUAAGCAGAUGGCAAGAGUACAAGGGAGGAAGCGCUCUCUGGCCAAUAGGAUGCCAGAGAUCUGCCCCAGUGACUUACAGACUGCCCAUUCGAUUCACUUCUUAAGGGUUCCAUGCUACUCAGUCUGCUAAACUGAGGACCAAGCCCCCAACACAUGAAGCUGGGAGACAAACCACUUCCAAGGCGUGUCAAUUCUGAAUUUUUUUCUGCCUUUAUGGAUUGCCAAGAACCCUAGGGACCCCAUUGCCAUAUUGAAAGCCAUUCCUUUGACUUUCCAUUUUCUAAGAGCUACCUUAAGCCCAGCUAGAAUCUUUCAUAUCCAGAUCUAAUAGUCUGGGGCCAGUCCUCUCAUCUCUGUUCCUGUAAUUUGUAAUCCAAUCAUGGACUUCAGCACCUAAACUUGGGGCAACAGCUAUACUUUUGAAAGCAGCAAAGGCGUUCUACGCAUGUUCCUGAAUUCUCAUUUCCCGUCUGUUCCUCUUCGGAAUAAAAAGAAGCAUGAUGCUGCUGGGUUGGGUGUGAACACUGUACAUUCAUAGAGAGGUGUCUACAUGCACAUCUAGGGACACAUCAUACGUUGUCAGGCUCUGCUGGCCAUCCCCCAGUUCCUCCAAGGACUGCCCCUACCCCUACAUCUUCACAUCAGUUGGAUGGAGGUGAAGUUCCUGGUUUUGAAGUAGUCCCUGAAAGAGAGAUGGGCUUUCAGAAGCAUCACCCACAUAUCCCAGACCCUUCUACGGUCUUUAUACACUCCUGUCUUUGGCUCUGUGAUUAUAGCUGUACAUGAUCUUUAUCCUGCCCGGAGCCGGGCUCAGUUGGGGAUGAGAAGUGGGCGAUGAGUGGGAGGAUAAGAGUAUGGCUGCUAUCACGGAAUAAAGACCUAAGGAAGCCAGGGGGGAGCCAAGGAACGGAGUGCAGAGCAGCAGUCAUUUGUUACAGCUGAAAAAUUAAAAAAUACAUACAU